Molecule: long non-coding RNA, 273 nt
Organism: Electrophorus electricus (electric eel)
Lineage: Eukaryota; Metazoa; Chordata; Actinopteri; Gymnotiformes; Gymnotidae
Source: Ensembl
UUAGGUCCUGGAUCCAGUGGUGUAAUAGUUGGACCGGCUGUUGGACUCAGUUUAAUCUUGUUGCUCAUUAUCAUACUUAUCCUGUUCCUGAGCUACAAGAAGAACAAAGGUACAGGAUCUCGGUCUCCCCCUACUGGACAUCAGGAGAACACUAACCAGACCACGGGCCAGAGGCAGAGUUGGACUGGGCCUGAGAGCUCUCUUGCAGGAACCUCACUGCUGCAAGCAGGAGGUGAUCUGAUUUAUGCCAAUGUUGGUAACAGGAUUACAGGU